GGGGUUGUGACUCAGUGGUAUAGCAUCUGCUUGGCAAGCAAAAGGUCCCGGGUUCAAUCCCUGGCUUCUCCA
This 72-nucleotide transfer RNA is filed under the name Sphaerodactylus townsendi. RNAcentral describes it as "tRNA-Ala". It matches the Rfam family "tRNA". Rfam says of the family: Transfer RNA (tRNA) molecules are approximately 80 nucleotides in length. The record is from RNAcentral. Lineage: Eukaryota; Metazoa; Chordata; Lepidosauria; Squamata; Sphaerodactylidae.